Molecule: transfer RNA, 84 nt
Filed under: Marinithermus hydrothermalis DSM 14884
Lineage: Bacteria; Thermotogati; Deinococcota; Deinococci; Thermales; Thermaceae
Rfam family: tRNA
About the family: Transfer RNA (tRNA) molecules are approximately 80 nucleotides in length.
Source: Rfam by way of RNAcentral
GCCGGGAUGGCGGAAUUGGUAGACGCGGCAGACUCAAAAUCUGCUGGCCGCAAGGCCGUGAGGGUUCGAGUCCCUCUCCCGGCA